UUUUUCACUUCACAUUAGGUCAAAUGUAUCAUUUACCAAUUUCUCACAAUUUUGCCUCCCAAACCCUAGGUCCAAACCCUAACUUUCAUAUCUUACUCACUUAUUGAAUUCUAAAUACAUUUUUAGUACUCAUACCCUCACUUACACUUAACCACUUCAUUAUUUGUAUCAAAAUUACCCAUUUCAACGUUAGUUUGCUGCUGGCCAAAAUUCCUAGGGUUUUAGAUAAGUAUGAUUUUGCAUGUUUUCAUGUAUUUCUAACCACUUUCAUCUUACUUUUAUACUUAUAAUUCAAUCAAAAUUAAGGAAGAGAGCUUACCUCAAAUGGAGCUUUCCAACUUCUUGAUUCUUCAAGCUUUUUUAAAUUUUUCUCUUCCCAAUCUUCUUAACAAGACUCAACUACAAGUUUUAAUUAAGAAACUUAUAAAUUUUAUGGCUCAAAUCUUAGGUUUAAGAAGCUUUUUAGUGAGCUUCAAUGGUUGAGGUUAAGAAAAUGAGAGAGAUGAGAGAGAUGAGAGAGGAGAUAAGAGUUGACGGAAAUGAAGAAAAAAAAAAACCAAUUUCUUUUCUUUUUAUUUUGCUUAUGGAAGACCACAAAAUCCAAAUUUAAUAAUUCAUUUAAUUGAUUCUUUUAUGACAUCAUGCAUGAGGUCAUGCAUGAUGUCAUCACCUUUUUACUUUUUCAUUUUCCUCUCUUUUUUUUUAUUUUUCUAUUAGUUCUUUAAUUUA
Molecule: unclassified non-coding RNA, 729 nt
Filed under: Hevea brasiliensis (rubber tree)
Lineage: Eukaryota; Viridiplantae; Streptophyta; Magnoliopsida; Malpighiales; Euphorbiaceae
Source: RNAcentral